AUUAAUAAGCGGAGGAAAAGAAACUAACAAGGAUUCCCUCAGUAACGGCGAGUGAAGCGGGAAGAGCUCAAAUUUGAAAUCUCCGGUGCUUGCAUCGGCGAGUUGUAGUUGCGAGAAGCACUUUCUAGGUGGAUCGGCGGUGCCUAAGUUGCUUGGAACAGCACGUCGCAGAGGGUGACAACCCCGUCUGUGGCGCCGCCGGCCGCUGACGAUGUGCUUUCGAAGAGUCGGGUUGUUUGGGAAUGCAGCCCAAAAUGGGUGGUAAACUCCAUCUAAAGCUAAAUACUGGCGUGAGACCGAUAGCGAACAAGUACCGUGAGGGAAAGAUGAAAAGAACUUUGAAAAGAGAGUUAAAAAGUACGUGAAACCGUCGGAAGGGAAACGAAUGGACUCAGCAAUGCGCCCUCUGAGAUUCAGCCGGUGGGUGGCGUCGGCGCGGGGUUUGCGGAUCUGAAUGGACCGCGGCCCGGCGCUCGCUUCUUCCCGCCGUCGCACUUCUCUGGGGCGCGCGUCAACGUGGGUUGGGACUGGGUCUGAAAGGUGCCGGGAAGGUAGGUGUGGGCCUUCGGGUCCGUUCUGUUACAGCCCGGUUCUCUCAUGGCUCGGGCCCGACCGAGGAGCAGACAGGGCAUGCCUCCUGUGGCUAGGGUCCCGUCCUUCCGGCCGGCUGUCCAGUGUGGUGGACUGCUUGCAGUGCUCUGCGACGGCUGCCGGUCGUUGGGGUGGUGAUCUCGUACCAUGCCCUUGGGAUGUUGGCGGUCAUAUGG
RNAcentral lists this ribosomal RNA (767 nucleotides) under Dipsastraea matthaii. RNAcentral's name for it is "partial 28S ribosomal RNA". It matches the Rfam family "Eukaryotic large subunit ribosomal RNA", at positions 42 to 637 of the family's 3401-position model. The record is from RNAcentral. Lineage: Eukaryota; Metazoa; Cnidaria; Anthozoa; Scleractinia; Merulinidae.